AAUUAAUUGGCAGAAAAAUGCAUUAGAAUUAGAAUCUAAUAAAACUAAAAUUA
Molecule: transfer RNA, 53 nt
Filed under: Habronattus pugillus
Lineage: Eukaryota; Metazoa; Arthropoda; Arachnida; Araneae; Salticidae
Description: tRNA-Leu
Source: RNAcentral